CAGACACACAAGACACGUUGCACAGCUUAUCAAGGAAGCCCUGCUUUAGUAAACUGCAGUAAAAGCACUUCCUGGAACCAAACAGUGGGUGUCAGGUGUGUACUUUAUGCUAUGUAUUACAACAUGGUUUCAUGCACAUGAUCUCAGCAGGCAUCUGGCUGAGGAGGAAGUGAAACGAGCAAGAAGAUAAAAGUGGCAAAUGAGACGAGAUGAGAAUGUUUGGCGUAAUGAUACUUCUGUGUGAGCUGCAUUGCACUCUGAAAGACACAAAGAGGACAGGAUGAGACAGAUGGAGGUGGUUUGAUGGUAUCAAACUUGGCCAUUCACAACUUCACAGGAAAGUAAUCCGACACUUACGUCUGCACUGAUAACCCUGCUUGUUAAGACCCCUGUGGUGGAGAAAAAACAGAGCAGAAGGUCGGUUGAGGGAAGAACGUUGCACUGAAUUCAUGACACUUGACAACAUGAACUUUGGCCUGUUUGAUGGCACCACG
Molecule: long non-coding RNA, 494 nt
Organism: Thunnus maccoyii (southern bluefin tuna)
Lineage: Eukaryota; Metazoa; Chordata; Actinopteri; Scombriformes; Scombridae
Exons: 3
Source: RefSeq, a predicted model, not a curated record